CCUACGGGCGGCAGCAGUGGGGAAUAUUGGACAAUGGGGGCAACCCUGAUCCAGCCAUGCCGCGUGUGUGAAGAAGGCCCUCGGGUUGUAAAGCACUUUCAGUGAGGAAGAACGCCUGGUGGUUAAUACCCAUCAGGAAAGACAUCACUCACAGAAGAAGCACCGGCUAACUCCGUGCCAGCAGCCGCGGUAAUACGUAGGGUGCGAGCGUUAAUCGGAAUUACUGGGCGUAAAGCGCGCGUAGGUGGCUUGAUAAGCCGGUUGUGAAAGCCCCGGGCUCAACCUGGGAACGGCAUCCGGAACUGUCAAGCUAGAGUGCAGGAGAGGAAGGUAGAAUUCCCGGUGUAGCGGUGAAAUGCGUAGAGAUCGGGAGGAAUACCAGUGGCGAAGGCGGCCUUCUGGACUGACACUGACACUGAGGUGCGAAAGCGUGGGUAGCAAACAGGAUUAGAUACCCCUGUAGUC
Molecule: ribosomal RNA, 465 nt
Filed under: Vreelandella stevensii
Lineage: Bacteria; Pseudomonadati; Pseudomonadota; Gammaproteobacteria; Oceanospirillales; Halomonadaceae
Description: partial 16S ribosomal RNA
Rfam family: Bacterial small subunit ribosomal RNA
Source: RNAcentral